GACGAACGCUGGCGGCGGGCUUAACACAUGCAAGUCGAACGGAAAGGCCCUGCGUGUGUGGGGUUCUCGAGUGGGGAACGGGUGAGUAACACGUGAGUAACCUGCCCUUGACUUUGGGAUAACUUCAGGAAACUGGGGCUAAUACCGUAUAGGAUCUCCUGUUCCAUUGUGGGGGUGGGAUAUUUUCGGCGGUUGGGGCUGGACUCGCGGCUUAUCAGCUUGUUGGUGGGGUAGUGGCUUACCAAGGCUUUGACGGGUAGCCGGCCUGAGAGGGUGACCGGGCACAUUGGGACUGCGAUACGGACCAGACUCCUACGGGAGGCAGCAGUGGGGAAUCUUGCACAAUGGGCCGAAGCCUGAUGAAGAAGCGCCGCGUGCGGGAUGACGGCCUUCGGGUUGUAAAAAGCUUUAGCCUGUGACGAAGCGUGAGUGACGGUACUGGGUGAAGAAGCACCGGCUAACUACGUG
Molecule: ribosomal RNA, 468 nt
Filed under: uncultured bacterium
Lineage: Bacteria
Description: partial 16S ribosomal RNA
Rfam family: Bacterial small subunit ribosomal RNA
Source: RNAcentral